RNAcentral lists this ribosomal RNA (253 nucleotides) under uncultured bacterium. RNAcentral describes it as "partial 16S ribosomal RNA". It matches the Rfam family "Bacterial small subunit ribosomal RNA", at positions 524 to 776 of the family's 1533-position model. The record is from RNAcentral.
UACGUAGGUGGCGAGCGUUGUCCGGAUUUACUGGGCGUAAAGCGCGUGUAGGCGGCUUAGCAAGUCGGGCGUGAAAGCCCUCGGCUCAACCGAGGAAGUGCACCCGAAACUGCUGAGCUUGAGUGCCGGAGAGGAUGGCGGAAUUCCCCAAGUAGAGGUGAAAUUCGUAGAUAUGGGGAGGAACACCGGUGGCGAAGGCGGCCAUCUGGACGGUAACUGACGCUGAGACGCGAAAGCGUGGGGAGCAAACAGG